CGUGUAGGCGGGGGUGCAAGUUACCGGUAAAACCCAGGGCUCAACUCUGGGCUUGCCGGUAAAACUGCAUCUCUUGAGUGUAGGAGAGGGAAGUGGAAUUCCCGGAGUAGCGGUGAAAUGCGUAGAUACCGGGAGGAACACCAGUGGCGAAGGCGGCUUCCUGGCCUACAACUGACGCUGAGGCGCGAAAGCUAGGGUAGCGAACG
Molecule: ribosomal RNA, 206 nt
Filed under: uncultured Tepidanaerobacter sp.
Lineage: Bacteria; Bacillati; Bacillota; Clostridia; Thermosediminibacterales; Tepidanaerobacteraceae
Description: partial 16S ribosomal RNA
Rfam family: Bacterial small subunit ribosomal RNA
Source: RNAcentral